This 497-nucleotide ribosomal RNA is filed under the name uncultured bacterium. RNAcentral describes it as "partial 16S ribosomal RNA". It matches the Rfam family "Bacterial small subunit ribosomal RNA", at positions 28 to 507 of the family's 1533-position model. The record is from RNAcentral.
GAUGAACGCUGGCGGCGUGCCUAAUACAUGCAAGUCGAGCGAACGGACGAGAAGCUUGCUUCUCUGAUGUUAGCGGCGGACGGGUGAGUAACACGUGGAUAACCUACCUAUAAGACUGGGAUAACUUCGGGAAACCGGAGCUAAUACCGGAUAAUAUUUUGAACCGCAUGGUUCAAAGGUGAAAGACGGUCUUGCUGUCACUUAUAGAUGGAUCCGCGCUGCAUUAGCUAGUUGGUAAGGUAACGGCUUACCAAGGCAACGAUGCAUAGCCGACCUGAGAGGGUGAUCGGCCACACUGGAACUGAGACACGGUCCAGACUCCUACGGGAGGCAGCAGUAGGGAAUCUUACGCAAUGGGCGAAAGCCUGACGGAGCAACGCCGCGUGAGUGAUGAAGGUCUUCGGAUCGUAAAACUCUGUUAUUAGGGAAGAACAUAUGUGUAAGUAACUGUGCACAUCUUGACGGUACCUAAUCAGAAAGCCACGGCUAACUACGUG